Long non-coding RNA from Neofelis nebulosa (Clouded leopard), 1296 nucleotides. RefSeq lists it as uncharacterized. Lineage: Eukaryota; Metazoa; Chordata; Mammalia; Carnivora; Felidae. The record is from RefSeq and is a predicted model, not a curated record. The transcript is spliced from 2 exons.
CUGACCCUGACAUGGCCCCUUCCCCCAUGGUGGGACCUGAGCCGCUCAGGAAGGGCCCGGCUUCCAGACCCCCUUCUCAGAGCCCGUGACGUUCCCUGGCCGGGGGCACUCGGUGCCCGACACGCGGCUGCCCAUCCCCUCAGGCCGUCUUUGGGCUGGCCUCCCAGGAGCAGCCAGUGUGGGAGGGUUGAAGCCAGAGGCCCAUUUCCGGGCAAUGAGCCGUGGGAAGGCCACCUGGCCUCCCUGACUCCCCCACUAGGGGCCAGGGAGACGCCUGCUCUCUUUGCUGGGACAGCAGCUCUGUGCUUGGAGCGUUUACUGCACAGGAAGGCCCAUGCUUUGCACGGAUUCACUCUCUGACUUCUCCCCAUGACUCCAGGGAGGUAUGCACAGUUAUUGACCCAUCUGAGAGACCACGAGACUGAGGCCUGGGAGAAUCGUUGCGCCCCGUGGCCUCGUACACGCCCCGGGUCUCUUGGCAGGCCUAGCAGGCAACUUGGGAAUGAAAGUGGCCACCUGUCCCAGUGGCCAGCCUGGUCCCCAGCUAUCCAGAUGUGUCAGUGCCGUUCCACUGUCUCCUCCCCUCAGGGAGAGGUUUUACUAAUCCGGUGGUGCAAACCGCCAGAGAGAGGACUUCAGGGUUAAAAUAUCCAGGCUGGGAACCCAGCUCUGGCACGUACUGGCUGGUCAAGCCUGGGCAAGGCACCCGGCCCUCCUGGCCACGCAGGGGGCCGUGCACCCUUUCCUCGCUCCAGAGGACGCCCCCACCUCGUCCCUGCUGUGGCCGCUCCCUGGGAGCCUUGGGCCCCCCUUCCCUCCCCUGAGGUCUGUAGAUGAAACCACGCUGUCUGGGGGCUUUCUGUCUACCUCUUCUUCUUUGUUCAGUGUUACUUGUUUUUGAGAGACCGAGAGACAGAGAGUGAGCGGGGAAGGGGCAGAGAGAGAGGGAGACGCAGAACCCGAAGCGGGCUCCGGGCUCCGAGCCGUCAGCAUGGAGCCCGACGCGGGGCUCGAACCCACGAACCGCGAGAUCAUGACCUGAGCCGAGGUCGGACGCCCAACCGACUGGGCCACCCAGGCACCCCUCCCGUCCACCUCUUCUAAAGUGUCCGUUCUUCCCCGUCACCCGCCUGUCCUGGGCACAAGCCACCACCCACUAGUGCGCUUAGCAGAUUUUCCCGCUCACUGUUGGCUGUCCCCCCUGGCAGCACAGCUCCAAGAGAGCAAGCAUCUGUGUCUGCUUCUGCCCCCAGCACCCAGGGCAGCGCUCAGCGCACAGUAGGCCCUCAAGAAAUA